Molecule: ribosomal RNA, 2789 nt
Filed under: Escherichia coli
Lineage: Bacteria; Pseudomonadati; Pseudomonadota; Gammaproteobacteria; Enterobacterales; Enterobacteriaceae
Description: bacterial LSU rRNA
Rfam family: Bacterial large subunit ribosomal RNA
Source: RNAcentral
AGCGUACACGGUGGAUGCCCUGGCAGUCAGAGGCGAUGAAGGACGUGCUAAUCUGCGAUAAGCGUCGGUAAGGUGAUAUGAACCGUUAUAACCGGCGAUUUCCGAAUGGGGAAACCCAGUGUGAUUCGUCACACUAUCAUUAACUGAAUCCAUAGGUUAAUGAGGCGAACCGGGGGAACUGAAACAUCUAAGUACCCCGAGGAAAAGAAAUCAACCGAGAUUCCCCCAGUAGCGGCGAGCGAACGGGGAGCAGCCCAGAGCCUGAAUCAGUGUGUGUGUUAGUGGAAGCGUCUGGAAAGGCGCGCGAUACAGGGUGACAGCCCCGUACACAAAAAUGCACAUGCUGUGAGCUCGAUGAGUAGGGCGGGACACGUGGUAUCCUGUCUGAAUAUGGGGGGACCAUCCUCCAAGGCUAAAUACUCCUGACUGACCGAUAGUGAACCAGUACCGUGAGGGAAAGGCGAAAAGAACCCCGGCGAGGGGAGUGAAAAAGAACCUGAAACCGUGUACGUACAAGCAGUGGGAGCACAGAGCAAUCUGUGUGACUGCGUACCUUUUGUAUAAUGGGUCAGCGACUUAUAUUCUGUAGCAAGGUUAACCGAAUAGGGGAGCCGAAGGGAAACCGAGUCUUAACUGGGCGUUAAGUUGCAGGGUAUAGACCCGAAACCCGGUGAUCUAGCCAUGGGCAGGUUGAAGGUUGGGUAACACUAACUGGAGGACCGAACCGACUAAUGUUGAAAAAUUAGCGGAUGACUUGUGGCUGGGGGUGAAAGGCCAAUCAAACCGGGAGAUAGCUGGUUCUCCCCGAAAGCUAUUUAGGUAGCGCCUCGUGAAUUCAUCUCCGGGGGUAGAGCACUGUUUCGGCAAGGGGGUCAUCCCGACUUACCAACCCGAUGCAAACUGCGAAUACCGGAGAAUGUUAUCACGGGAGACACACGGCGGGUGCUAACGUCCGUCGUGAAGAGGGAAACAACCCAGACCGCCAGCUAAGGUCCCAAAGUCAUGGUUAAGUGGGAAACGAUGUGGGAAGGCCCAGACAGCCAGGAUGUUGGCUUAGAAGCAGCCAUCAUUUAAAGAAAGCGUAAUAGCUCACUGGUCGAGUCGGCCUGCGCGGAAGAUGUAACGGGGCUAAACCAUGCACCGAAGCUGCGGCAGCGACGCUGAUGCGUUGUUGGGUAGGGGAGCGUUCUGUAAGCCUGCGAAGGUGUGCUGUGAGGCAUGCUGGAGGUAUCAGAAGUGCGAAUGCUGACAUAAGUAACGAUAAAGCGGGUGAAAAGCCCGCUCGCCGGAAGACCAAGGGUUCCUGUCCAACGUUAAUCGGGGCAGGGUGAGUCGACCCCUAAGGCGAGGCCGAAAGGCGUAGUCGAUGGGAAACAGGUUAAUAUUCCUGUACUUGGUGUUACUGCGAAGGGGGGACGGAGAAGGCUAUGUUGGCCGGGCGACGGUUGUCCCGGUUUAAGCGUGUAGGCUGGUUUUCCAGGCAAAUCCGGAAAAUCAAGGCUGAGGCGUGAUGACGAGGCACUACGGUGCUGAAGCAACAAAUGCCCUGCUUCCAGGAAAAGCCUCUAAGCAUCAGGUAACAUCAAAUCGUACCCCAAACCGACACAGGUGGUCAGGUAGAGAAUACCAAGGCGCUUGAGAGAACUCGGGUGAAGGAACUAGGCAAAAUGGUGCCGUAACUUCGGGAGAAGGCACGCUGAUAUGUAGGUGAAGUCCCUCGCGGAUGGAGCUGAAAUCAGUCGAAGAUACCAGCUGGCUGCAACUGUUUAUUAAAAACACAGCACUGUGCAAACACGAAAGUGGACGUAUACGGUGUGACGCCUGCCCGGUGCCGGAAGGUUAAUUGAUGGGGUCAGCGCAAGCGAAGCUCUUGAUCGAAGCCCCGGUAAACGGCGGCCGUAACUAUAACGGUCCUAAGGUAGCGAAAUUCCUUGUCGGGUAAGUUCCGACCUGCACGAAUGGCGUAAUGAUGGCCAGGCUGUCUCCACCCGAGACUCAGUGAAAUUGAACUCGCUGUGAAGAUGCAGUGUACCCGCGGCAAGACGGAAAGACCCCGUGAACCUUUACUAUAGCUUGACACUGAACAUUGAGCCUUGAUGUGUAGGAUAGGUGGGAGGCUUUGAAGUGUGGACGCCAGUCUGCAUGGAGCCGGCCUUGAAAUACCACCCUUUAAUGUUUGAUGUUCUAACGUUGACCCGUGAUCCGGGUUGCGGACAGUGUCUGGUGGGUAGUUUGACUGGGGCGGUCUCCUCCUAAAGAGUAACGGAGGAGCACGAAGGUUGGCUAAUCCUGGUCGGACAUCAGGAGGUUAGUGCAAUGGCAUAAGCCAGCUUGACUGCGAGCGUGACGGCGCGAGCAGGUGCGAAAGCAGGUCAUAGUGAUCCGGUGGUUCUGAAUGGAAGGGCCAUCGCUCAACGGAUAAAAGGUACUCCGGGGAUAACAGGCUGAUACCGCCCAAGAGUUCAUAUCGACGGCGGUGUUUGGCACCUCGAUGUCGGCUCAUCACAUCCUGGGGCUGAAGUAGGUCCCAAGGGUAUGGCUGUUCGCCAUUUAAAGUGGUACGCGAGCUGGGUUUAGAACGUCGUGAGACAGUUCGGUCCCUAUCUGCCGUGGGCGCUGGAGAACUGAGGGGGGCUGCUCCUAGUACGAGAGGACCGGAGUGGACGCAUCACUGGUGUUCGGGUUGUCAUGCCAAUGGCACUGCCCGGUAGCUAAAUGCGGAAGAGAUAAGUGCUGAAAGCAUCUAAGCACGAAACUUGCCCCGAGAUGAGUUCUCCCUGACUCCUUGA